MicroRNA precursor from Myotis lucifugus (little brown bat), 60 nucleotides. The record is from Ensembl. NCBI's taxonomy places the organism in Eukaryota, Metazoa, Chordata, Mammalia, Chiroptera, Vespertilionidae.
AACAUUCAUUGCUGUCGGUGGGUUUGAGUCUGAAUCAACUCACUGAUCAAUGAAUGCAAA